This 253-nucleotide ribosomal RNA is filed under the name uncultured bacterium. RNAcentral describes it as "partial 16S ribosomal RNA". It matches the Rfam family "Bacterial small subunit ribosomal RNA", at positions 524 to 776 of the family's 1533-position model. The record is from RNAcentral.
UACGUAGGGACCAAGCGUUGUCCGGAAUCACUGGGCGUAAAGGGUGCGUAGGCGGGUCUUUAAGUCAGGGGUGAAAUCCUGGAGCUCAACUCCAGAACUGCCUUUGAUACUGAGGAUCUUGAGUUCGGGAGAGGUGAGUGGAACUGCGAGUGUAGAGGUGAAAUUCGUAGAUAUUCGCAAGAACACCAGUGGCGAAGGCGGCUCACUGGCCCGAUACUGACGCUGAGGCACGAAAGCGUGGGGAGCAAACAGG